AAGGUUGUUUUCCUGUGGACGGAAGUUGCUUAAUCAGACUGGAAUGCAGAGUGACUUUUCCUGUCUCUAUGGAACACGCAAGAGAGAGAGACGGACAGAAAAAAGUCUUUCGAAACACAAAGAUAUUUGACUUCUUCACGUCCAGCAACCAGCGACAGAAACAUCUCCUAUUUUGGCCGAGUUUAUUAAUUAAUUGAAGUUUUUAUUGAUCUCAGCAGUGGCUGCCAUCAUUGGGCACCAGAGAGCAGUCAGGGUUAAGGGUCUUGCUCAGAGACCCAGAGUGGCAGUCUGUGGAAGAGGGUUUCAAACUCGCAACCUCAGGAUUCCAAGCUCUAUGCCCCAACCACAAGGCCAGCACUUCCCUCCAAGUUUUUCCAUGUCAGCUGCAGCACUUUCUAGUUCUGCCAGUGUUCUUUGCUCGAGCCACUUCGGCUAGAUGACCGUGAUUCCUCCAGUCUCCGCCUCAUUCGGUCUCGGCUGCACGGCUUCAGUUCAACAGGCUCACCUCGGCAUUUAGUGAUCAGCUGGUCACAAGUCUGGACGACUCUCAUGCAGCUCCGAGCCCCCCUGGGCUCAGGGCACCGUAUCCUAACCUUUCAGCCAAACUCAUCUAACUCCUGUGUCUACAUACCAUUUUCAUUACUCUGUAAAGUGCCUUGAGAUGACAUGUGUUGUGAAUUUGGCGCUAUAUAAAUAAACUGAAUUGAAUUGAAUUCAAUUCAAGACAAGCACAAUACUGUUUUAGGUUUAAUUAAAUUCUCCAUGUAAAUAUUCUGCCUUGUUAAUUGUUUUAUGAAAAAACAAUUUAUAAAUCAUAAUUUUCCCAUAGCAAAA
Cyprinodon tularosa is the source of this 834-nucleotide long non-coding RNA. RefSeq lists it as uncharacterized. Lineage: Eukaryota; Metazoa; Chordata; Actinopteri; Cyprinodontiformes; Cyprinodontidae. The record is from RefSeq and is a predicted model, not a curated record. The transcript is spliced from 2 exons.